UAGCUCCUAGCUCAGUAGUAGAACGUUGGACUCGUAAUCCAAGGGACUGGGGUUCGACUCCCGAUAGCUAG
Molecule: transfer RNA, 71 nt
Filed under: Diaphorina citri (Asian citrus psyllid)
Lineage: Eukaryota; Metazoa; Arthropoda; Insecta; Hemiptera; Psyllidae
Rfam family: tRNA
About the family: Transfer RNA (tRNA) molecules are approximately 80 nucleotides in length. Their secondary structure includes four short double-helical elements and three loops (D, anti-codon, and T loops). Further hydrogen bonds mediate the characteristic L-shaped molecular structure. tRNAs have two regions of fundamental functional importance: the anti-codon, which is responsible for specific mRNA codon recognition, and the 3' end, to which the tRNAs corresponding amino acid is attached (by aminoacyl-tRNA synthetases). tRNAs cope with the degeneracy of the genetic code in two manners: having more than one tRNA (with a specific anti-codon) for a particular amino acid; and 'wobble' base-pairing, i.e. permitting non-standard base-pairing at the 3rd anti-codon position.
Source: Rfam by way of RNAcentral